RNAcentral lists this ribosomal RNA (403 nucleotides) under Fusobacteriota bacterium. RNAcentral's name for it is "Fusobacteria bacterium partial 16S ribosomal RNA". It matches the Rfam family "Bacterial small subunit ribosomal RNA", at positions 355 to 776 of the family's 1533-position model. The record is from RNAcentral. Lineage: Bacteria; Fusobacteriati; Fusobacteriota.
UGGGGAAUUUUGCACAAUGGAGGAAACUCUGAUGCAGCGACGCCGCGUGAGUGAUGAAGAUCUUCGGAUUGUAAAACUCUGUCCUUAGUGAAGAUAAUGACAGUAACUAAGAAGCAAGCCCUGGCUAAAUACGUGCCAGCAGCCGCGGUAAUACGUAUGGGGCAAGCGUCGUCCGGAAUUAUUGGGCGUAAAGGGUACGUAGGCGGUUUAAUAAGUCCUAAUUAAAAGGCUAUGGCUCAACCAUAGUAUGGUUAGGAAACUGUUGAACUUGAGUAGAUGAGGGGAAAGUGGAAUUCCAUGUGUAGCGGUGAAAUGCGUAGAUAUAUGGAGGAACACCAAUGGCGAAGGCAACUUUCUGGAAUCAAACUGACGCUGAGGUACGAAGGCGUGGGGAGCAAACAGG